RNAcentral lists this transfer RNA (69 nucleotides) under pig gut metagenome. It matches the Rfam family "tRNA". From Rfam's summary of the family: Transfer RNA (tRNA) molecules are approximately 80 nucleotides in length. Their secondary structure includes four short double-helical elements and three loops (D, anti-codon, and T loops). The record is from RNAcentral.
AACGUAGCUCAGCUGGUAGAGCAACUGAUUUGUAAUCAGUAGGUCGCAGGUUCGGGUCCUGUCGUUGGC